AAAAAGAUAAACCCUGAUUUCCGUGUCCAACGUUUGACCGUCCGUCUUAUUUGAAAAAAUUAUGAAAAAAAUUAAAAAGACAAGUCACGCAUAAAGUAUUAAUCAUAUUUUAUCCUCUAACAACAAUGAAAAUACAAAUUAUAAAAAAAUUUCAUAUAAGACGGACAGUCAAACGUUGGACAUGGAAACCUAGGGUUUGUCUUUUU
Molecule: microRNA precursor, 206 nt
Filed under: Oryza glumipatula
Lineage: Eukaryota; Viridiplantae; Streptophyta; Magnoliopsida; Poales; Poaceae
Description: MIR812 microRNA precursor family
Rfam family: MIR812 microRNA precursor family
Source: Rfam by way of RNAcentral